CCUACGGGAGGCAGCAGUGAGGAAUAUUGGUCAAUGGGCGGGAGCCUGAACCAACCAAGUCGCGUGAAGGAAGAAGGUACUUAGUAUUGUAAACUUCUUUUGUAGGGGAACAAAAGCGGAGACGCGUCUCCGGAUGAGUGUACCCGAUGAAAAAGCAUCGGCUAACUCCGUGCCAGCAGCCGCGGUAAUACGGAGGAUGCGAGCGUUAUCCGGAUUUAUUGGGUUUAAAGGGUGCGUAGGCGGGAGAUCAAGUCAGCGGUAAAAUGUCGGGGCUCAACCCCGGCCGGCCGUUGAAACUGGCUGUCUAGAGUUGGAGAGAGGUAUGCGGAAUGCGUGGUGUAGCGGUGAAAUGCAUAGAUAUCACGAAGAACUCCGAUUGCGAAGGCAGCAUACCGGCUCCAUACUGACGCUGAGGCACGAAAGCGUGGGGAUCGAACAGGAUUAGAUACCCUAGUAGUC
RNAcentral lists this ribosomal RNA (459 nucleotides) under uncultured bacterium. RNAcentral describes it as "partial 16S ribosomal RNA". It matches the Rfam family "Bacterial small subunit ribosomal RNA", at positions 338 to 795 of the family's 1533-position model. The record is from RNAcentral.